GACGAACGCUGGCGGCGUGCUUAACACAUGCCAGUCGAACGGAAAGGCCCUGCUUUUGUGGGGUGCUCGAGUGGCGAACGGGUGAGUAACACGUGAGUAGCCUGCCCUUGACUUUGGGAUAACUUCAGGAAACUGGGGCUAAUACCGGAUAGGAGCUCCUGCUGCAUGGUGGGGGUUGGAAAGUUUCGGCGGUUGGGGAUGGACUCGCGGCUUAUCAGCUUGUUGGUGGGGUAGUGGCUUACCAAGGCUUUGACGGGUAGCCGGCCUGAGAGGGUGACCGGCCACAUUGGGACUGAGAUACGGCCCAGACUCCUACGGGAGGCAGCAGUGGGGAAUAUUGCACAAUGGGCGGAAGCCUGAUGCAGCAACGCCGCGUGCGGGAUGACGGCCUUCGGGUGGUAAACCGCUUUCGCCUGUGACGAAGCGUGAGUGACGGUAAUGGGUAAAGAAGCACCGGCUAACUACGU
RNAcentral lists this ribosomal RNA (467 nucleotides) under uncultured bacterium. Its description in RNAcentral is "partial 16S ribosomal RNA". It matches the Rfam family "Bacterial small subunit ribosomal RNA", at positions 28 to 506 of the family's 1533-position model. The record is from RNAcentral.